This 457-nucleotide ribosomal RNA is filed under the name uncultured bacterium. RNAcentral describes it as "partial 16S ribosomal RNA". It matches the Rfam family "Bacterial small subunit ribosomal RNA", at positions 338 to 795 of the family's 1533-position model. The record is from RNAcentral.
CCUACGGGAGGCAGCAGUGGGGAAUAUUGCACAAUGGGGGAAACCCUGAUGCAGCGACGCCGCGUGAGUGAAGAAGUAUUUCGGUAUGUAAAGCUCUAUCAGCAGGGUAGAAAUAAAGUCCUUCGGACUUUGGACGGUACCUGACUAAGCAGCCCCGGCUAAAUACGGGCCAGCAGCCGCGGUAAUACGUAGGGGGCAAGCGUUAUCCGGAUUUACUGGGUGUAAUGGGAGCGUAGACGGCAGCGCAAGUCUGGAGUGAAAUCCCAUGGCUUAACCAUGGAACUGCGUUGGAAACUGUGCAGCUGGAGUGCAGGAGAGGUAAGCGGAAUUCCUAGUGUAGCGGUGAAAUGCGUAGAUAUUAGGAGGAACACCAGUGGCGAAGGCGGCUUACUGGACUGUAACUGACGUUGAGGCUCGAAAGCGUGGGGAGCAAACAGGAUUAGAUACCCCGGUAGUC